UAAUUUAUAUUUUAAUUAAGAUUAUGAAAUUUAUUAUUUAGUUAUGAUUGGGGUGAUUUUUAAAGAAUAUUAAUCUUUAAAAUUUUUUAAUAAAAAAGUUCCAUUAGUAGUGAUUUUUUGAUAAAAAUACUCUAGGGAUAACAGCGUUAUUAUUUUGGAUAGUUCAUAUAGAUAAAAUAGUUUGCGACCUCGAUGUUGGAUUAGGAUUCUUUUAUGAUGAAGAAGUUAUAAGGGAGAAGUUUGCUCAACUUUUAAAGUCCUACUUGAUCUGAGUUCAGACCGGG
RNAcentral lists this ribosomal RNA (284 nucleotides) under Ornithodoros coriaceus. Its description in RNAcentral is "partial 16S ribosomal RNA". The stretch from base 137 to 284 matches the Rfam family "Bacterial large subunit ribosomal RNA", at positions 2473 to 2620 of the family's 2925-position model. Lineage: Eukaryota; Metazoa; Arthropoda; Arachnida; Ixodida; Argasidae. The record is from RNAcentral.